CCUGCCUGAGGAGGCUUCGGUUGGACGCGAAGGAGCUGCAGCAUCCAGUUCUAGAGGCUGGGAAGUCCAGGAUCAAGAUGCCAGCAGAUCCAGUGCAUCAUGAGGAUACACCUCCUGGUUUGCAGAUGGUCGUCUUGCCGUGUCCUCACAUGGCAGAAAGAGGAAGCAAGCUCUCCUUGUUUGUCUUAUAAGGGCACUAAUCCCAUCACGAGAGGUCCACCCUCAGAACCUAAUGACCCCCUAAAGAGCCCACCUAAUGCUGUCCCACUGGGGGUUAGGAUUUUGACAUUGGAAUUUUGAGGAGGACACAAACAUGCAGUCCAUAACACAUUCCCUCCCAUGAUAUGCAAGACCUCUUUUUUUUUUGAGGUGGGGUCUCCUCUCCGUUGCCCAGGCUGGAGGGCAGUGGCAUGAUCAUAGCUCACUGCAGCCUCAACCUCCUGGGCUCAAGUGAUCCUGCCG
This 462-nucleotide non-coding RNA is filed under the name Pongo abelii (Sumatran orangutan). The record is from RNAcentral. Lineage: Eukaryota; Metazoa; Chordata; Mammalia; Primates; Hominidae.